AAGCAAGAAGAGAACUCUGGCUUCCCUUGUUUCACCUUUAUCUUUUUGAGAAGACAAAUGGAAGUUUGAAUGAGAUCUGUCAUCUUCCCACAGUAGCUAGAACGCCAACCUCCGAGAAGGUUCACGGUGAAAAAUCCAGCCCUCACUUUAAGAUGCACCUAGCGACAUUGGAGUUGCGUUCCUUCACUGAAAGAACUAGAAGUAUUGACGGCUCCCACGGCUACCCCAUUUCCCUGGGCGUGCUAAUGAUCUACCUCUAGCACUUAAGAGAGUGGCACAAAUCCUUGGCCAUUCUUGAACAGGAAAUGGACGUCUGGAUGGUACCUGAAUUUCUAUCAACCACUGUGGCUGGACAAACCUUUUCCUAUGCAAAUCCAGUACCAAACAAGUGGGCAGAGACUGAGAUACCUCAACAAGCUGAUUUUGGUCAGAGUGAUUUCUAAUAGCAACAGAAUGAAAGUGGAGCAAUGUGGAGCAGCCAGCUGCUCUGAACACUCAUCCGCC
Chionomys nivalis (European snow vole) is the source of this 504-nucleotide long non-coding RNA. RefSeq lists it as uncharacterized. The record is from RefSeq and is a predicted model, not a curated record. The transcript has 3 exons. Lineage: Eukaryota; Metazoa; Chordata; Mammalia; Rodentia; Cricetidae.